UGGGGAAUAUUGGACAAUGGGUGAGAGCCUGAUCCAGCCAUGCCGCGUGCAGGAAGAAGGCGUUAUGCGUUGUAAACUGCUUUUGCCAGGGGAUAAAAUGAGCGUGCGCGCUUAAUUGAAGGUACCUGGUGAAUAAGCCACGGCUAACUACGUGCCAGCAGCCGCGGUAAUACGUAGGUGGCAAGCGUUGUCCGGAUUUAUUGGGUUUAAAGGGUGCGUAGGUGGCCCUGUAAGUCAGUGGUGAAAUAUCUCAGCUUAACUGAGAGGGUGCCAUUGAUACUGCAGGGCUUGAGUACAGAUGAGGUAGGCGGAAUUGACGGUGUAGCGGUGAAAUGCAUAGAUAUCGUCAAGAACACCGAUAGCGAAGGCAGCUUACCAAGCUGUAACUGACACUGAGGCACGAAAGUGUGGGGAUCAAACAGGAUUAGAUACCCCCGUAGUCCCUGAGCGGGCUGGCAAGGCGCAU
This 466-nucleotide ribosomal RNA is filed under the name uncultured bacterium. RNAcentral describes it as "bacterial SSU rRNA". It matches the Rfam family "Bacterial small subunit ribosomal RNA", at positions 355 to 825 of the family's 1533-position model. The record is from RNAcentral.